UGUUUAGUGAUGAAUGC
Molecule: unclassified non-coding RNA, 17 nt
Filed under: Mus musculus (house mouse)
Lineage: Eukaryota; Metazoa; Chordata; Mammalia; Rodentia; Muridae
Description: oocyte_clustered_small_RNA4045
Source: RNAcentral